This 797-nucleotide long non-coding RNA is filed under the name Equus asinus (donkey). RNAcentral's name for it is "lncRNA (ENSEASG00005010898.2)". The record is from RNAcentral. Lineage: Eukaryota; Metazoa; Chordata; Mammalia; Perissodactyla; Equidae.
AUCCAGUGCUUGUCAUUUUGUGCCUGGCUCAUUUCACUUUGAUAUGGUUUUUGUAUUUCUGACUUAAUAUCAUGUUAUCUUCUGUUACGGCUUCUGUGAAGGGUGUAGAUCAAGAGGGGCAAAGGUGGAAGCAGAGGUGAGCUCUGAGGCUGCUGCCUUGCUCUGGGCAGAGAUGUGGUGCCUGGACCACGGCCGUGGCAGUAGAGGUGCUGACAAGAAGACAGAUGCUGGGUAGAUUUUUAAGGCUGGUGGCAAGCUUCCCCUUGAGCUCGUCACGUUCUUCAGUGCAGCACAACACAGAGUAAAGGUCCAUGGGUGUUUAUGCGGCGGCUGGAGCAGCCAGAAGAACCCUCUGCUCACCAACACCUUCCUCUGUCUCCCAAGUCCUUCCUGUCGGCUCCUUGCAGACAGACGGCUAAGUUCACCUGGGGUAGGACAGAAACAGCCUCGUGUCCCGAUAAGUGUCCCCAGGCGUAGUCAGAGUAAAGGUCGUUGGGAAGUACAGUUGUUAUUACUGCCCGCUCCUUGCACGCACAAACAAGUCAAAGGCUUCCUUAUGCUGGUUCCAGACAUCCACCACGAAUGUGGAUGAUGAGCCUAUGGGGCUGCCGCACUGCAGAGCCAACACGGGGUGAAAAUGAAUCGAGCACGUCCUGCAGGUGCCUCUGCUGAGGGAUCUUUUCACGCUGAGGACACUGAACAGAGAGAAUAUGCAGCUGGUCACAGAAAGCCGUUCAGCUAUUUCAAAGCUUCUACACAAAACAAAACGUUCCAUAAAGUUUGCUUGAAAGUUGAAU